CAUUACUGAGUGAGGGCCCUCUGGGUCCAACCUCCCACCCGUGUUUAUUGUACCUUGUUGCUUCGGCAGGCCCGCCUUACGGCCGCCGGGGGGCUUCUGCCCCCGGGCCCGCGCCUGCCGGAGACAAUCUUGAACGCUGUCUGAAGAAUGCAGUCUGAGCGAUUAAGCAAAAUUAGUUAAAACUUUCAACAACGGAUCUCUUGGUUCCGGCAUCGAUGAAGAACGCAGCGAAAUGCGAUAAUUAAUGUGAAUUGCAGAAUUCAGUGAAUCAUCGAGUCUUUGAACGCACAUUGCGCCCCCUGGUAUUCCGGGGGGCAUGCCUGUCCGAGCGUCAUUGCUGCCCUCAAGCACGGCUUGUUUGUUGGGUCUUGUUCCCCCGGGAACAGGCCCGAAAGGCAGUGGCGGCACCGUCCGAUCCUCGAGCGUAUGGGGCUUUGUCACCCGCUCUGUAGGCCCGGCCGGCGCUUGCCGACCCCAAUCAAUCUUUUUCAGGUUGACCUCGGAUCAGGUAGGGAUACCCGCUGAACUUAAGCAUAUCAA
Molecule: ribosomal RNA, 540 nt
Filed under: Penicillium sclerotiorum
Lineage: Eukaryota; Fungi; Ascomycota; Eurotiomycetes; Eurotiales; Aspergillaceae
Description: eukaryotic LSU rRNA
Rfam family: 5.8S ribosomal RNA (bases 181-334)
Source: RNAcentral